AGGACGAACGCUGGCGGCGUGCCUAACACAUGCAAGUCGAACGGAGCCCGCAAGGGUUCAGUGGCGAACGGGUGCGUAACACGUGAGGAACUUGUCCAUCGGCGGGGGAUAGCCGGCCCAACGGCCGGGUAAUACCGCGUACGCCGUCCGGAGCGCAUGCUCUGGCCGGGAAAGCAGCAAUGCACCGAUGGAGAGCCUCGCGGCCUAUCAGCUAGUUGGUGGGGUAAUGGCCUACCAAGGCGACGACGGGUAGCUGGUCUGAGAGGAUGACCAGCCACAUUGGGACUGAGACACGGCCCAGACUCCUACGGGAGGCAGCAGUGGGGAAUAUUGCGCAAUGGGCGAAAGCCUGACGCAGCGACGCCGCGUGUGGGAUGACGGCCUUCGGGUUGUAAACCACUGUCGCGAGGGACGAAGAUCUGACGGUACCUCGAAAGGAAGCACCGGCUAACUCUGUGCCAGCAGCCGCGGUAA
This 474-nucleotide ribosomal RNA is filed under the name uncultured bacterium. Its description in RNAcentral is "SSU rRNA". It matches the Rfam family "Bacterial small subunit ribosomal RNA", at positions 26 to 523 of the family's 1533-position model. The record is from RNAcentral.